RNAcentral lists this ribosomal RNA (810 nucleotides) under uncultured bacterium. Its description in RNAcentral is "bacterial SSU rRNA". It matches the Rfam family "Bacterial small subunit ribosomal RNA", at positions 53 to 883 of the family's 1533-position model. The record is from RNAcentral.
ACAUGCAAGUCGAACGAUGAAACCUAGCUUGCUAGGUGGAUUAGUGGCGCACGGGUGAGUAAUAUAUAGGUAAUGUGCCUCUUAGUCUGGGAUAGCCAUUGGAAACGAUGAUUAAUACUGGAUACUCCUUCUAACUCUAAUGUUAGUCGGGAAAGUUUUUCGCUAAGAGAUCAGCCUAUAUCCCAUCAGUUAGUUGGUAAGGUAACGGCUUACCAAGGCAAUGACGGGUAGCGGGUUUGAGAGGAUGAUCCGCCACACUGGUACUGAGACACGGACCAGACUCCUACGGGAGGCAGCAGUGAGGAAUAUUGCACAAUGGGGGAAACCCUGAUGCAGCAACGCCGCGUGGAGGAUGACGCAUUUCGGUGUGUAAACUCCUUUUAUAUGUCAAGAAAAUGACGGUAGCAUAUGAAUAAGCACCGGCUAACUCCGUGCCAGCAGCCGCGGUAAUACGGAGGGUGCAAGCGUUACUCGGAAUCACUGGGCGUAAAGGACGCGUAGGCGGAUUGGAAAGUCAGAUGUGAAAUCCUACAGCUUAACUGUAGAACUGCAUUUGAAACUUCUAAUCUAGAGUAUGGGAGGGGGAGAUGGAAUUAGUGGUGUAGGGGUAAAAUCCGUAGAUAUCACUAGGAAUACCGAAAGCGAAGGCGAUCUCCUGGAACAUUACUGACGCUAAGGCGUGAAAGCGUGGGGAGCAAACAGGAUUAGAUACCCUGGUAGUCCACGCCCUAAACGAUGAACACUAGUCGUCGGGAUGCUUGUCAUCUCGGUGAUGCACUUAACAGAUUAAGUGUUCCGCCUGGGGAGUAC